GAUGAACGCUAGCGACAGGCGUAACACAUGCAAGUCGAGGGGCAGCACGGUGUAGCAAUACACGGGUGGCGACCGGCGCACGGGUGAGUAACGCGUAUGCAACCUGCGUACUACAAGGGGAUAACCCGUUGAAAGACGGACUAAUACCCUAUAACACAGGGAAUCCGCAUGGAUAUAUUUGUUAAAGAUUUAUCGGUAGUAGAUGGGCAUGCGUUCCAUUAGCUUGUUGGUGAGGUAACGGCUCACCAAGGCAACGAUGGAUAGGGGAACUGAGAGGUUGAUCCCCCACACUGGAACUGAGACACGGUCCAGACUCCUACGGGAGGCAGCAGUGAGGAAUAUUGGUCAAUGGACGAGAGUCUGAACCAGCCAAGUCGCGUGAAGGAAGACGGCCCUACGGGUUGUAAACUUCUUUUGUAAGGGAAUAAAUAGUCUUACGCGCUAAGACGUUGCAGGUACCUUACGAAUAAGGAUCGGCUAACUCCGUGCCAGCAGCCGCGGUAAUACGGAGGAUCCGAGCGUUAUCCGGAUUUAUUGGGUUUAAAGGGUGCGCAGGCGGCAUGUUAAGUCGGCGGUGAAAUUUUGCAGCUCAACUGUAAAAGAGCCUUCGAAACUGGCAAGCUUGAGUGUGGAUGAAGUAGGCGGAAUUUGUGGUGUAGCGGUGAAAUGCAUAGAUAUCACAAAGAACACCGAUUGCGCAGGCAGCUUACUAAACCAUAACUGACGCUCAUGCACGAAGGCGUGGGGAUCAAACA
This 755-nucleotide ribosomal RNA is filed under the name uncultured Porphyromonadaceae bacterium. RNAcentral describes it as "bacterial SSU rRNA". It matches the Rfam family "Bacterial small subunit ribosomal RNA", at positions 28 to 774 of the family's 1533-position model. Lineage: Bacteria; Pseudomonadati; Bacteroidota; Bacteroidia; Bacteroidales; Porphyromonadaceae. The record is from RNAcentral.